ACUCCGUGCCAGCAGCCGCGGUAAGACGGGGGAUGCAAGCGUUAUUCGGAAUUAUUGGGCGUAAAGCGUCUGUAGGUGGUAAGGAAAGUGUAAUGUUAAAGAUCAGGGCUCAACCCUGGGAAAGCAUUGCAAACUAUCUUACUUGAGUUCGGUAGGGGCAGAGAGAAUUCCCAGUGUAGCGGUGAAAUGCGUAGAUAUUGGGAGGAAGACCGGUGGCGAAGGCGUUCUGCUGGGCCGUAACUGACACUCAGAGACGAAAGCUAAGGUAGCAAAUAGGAUUAGAUACCCUAGUAGUCUUAGCUGUAAACGAUGCACACUAUGUUUUGCAAUUUGCAGAGCAAUAGCUAACGCGUUAAGUGUGCCGCCUGGGGAGUACAUUCGCAAGGAUGAAACUCAAAGGAAUUGACGGGGACCCGCACAAGCGGUGGAGCAUGUGGUUUAAUUCGAUGCAACGCGAAGAACCUUACCAAGAAUUGACAUGCUGCGAACGUUUACGAAAGUAAAAAGUCUAUUAACUUAGUUAAUAGCGCAGACACAGGUGGUGCAUGGUUGUCGUCAGCUCGUGCCGUGAGGUGUUAGGUUAAGUCCUGCAACGAGCGCAACCCUUGUCUUUAGUUAUAUUCUAGAGAGACUGCCGGUGACAAACCGGAGGAAGGUGAGGAUGACGUCAAAUCAGCAUGCCCCUUACAUCUUGGGCGACUCACGUGCUACAAUGGUCGGGACAAAGAGAUGCUACCCUGCGAAGGCAAGCUAACCUCAAAACCCGAUCUCAGUUCGGAUUGCAG
RNAcentral lists this ribosomal RNA (785 nucleotides) under Chloropicon roscoffensis. RNAcentral describes it as "bacterial SSU rRNA". It matches the Rfam family "Bacterial small subunit ribosomal RNA", at positions 500 to 1303 of the family's 1533-position model. Lineage: Eukaryota; Viridiplantae; Chlorophyta; Chloropicophyceae; Chloropicales; Chloropicaceae. The record is from RNAcentral.